Nerophis ophidion (straightnose pipefish) is the source of this 1345-nucleotide long non-coding RNA. RefSeq lists it as uncharacterized. The transcript has 2 exons. The record is from RefSeq and is a predicted model, not a curated record. NCBI's taxonomy places the organism in Eukaryota, Metazoa, Chordata, Actinopteri, Syngnathiformes, Syngnathidae.
AAUGAGUCACUUCCACAGUCUCGCCGUACAAAGCAAACACACCCACCCUGAGAGUCCUCUUGGCCCCGUUACUGUCGCUGAAGAUGAUGGUGUCGGCGCCGCCCAUGGAGCACACCUGCUUCAGCCGAGCUCCGCCGCACACCGGGACGAUGGACACGGAGAAGUCCUACCAGAAAAACGGGGGGAGAAAAAAAAAAAAAAGGUUGAACUCUCACACUCACUUUCCCACGUUGCUUUUAUUUAGCCGUCCGUGCAGUUCGGCAGACAUUGCAGAAGCGCCUGGUUUUACAGAAAAGGAAAGUCAUGCAAUGACGUCCGCUUCAUGAUGAUGUUCUCCCGAUGUUCUCAGGUGCGUACGCGCUACUGCUCUACGAUUCAUCACGCUGCCAUGCAACGAUGUGUCAGUCUUCUUGUCGUCCACCGCCUUGUUUAGCACCAAAUAAAUACUAUUUGUAAGGGAAGGAUUACAGCUAAUCUUUCCUGUGAUAAAAUGGCAACCAGGGUAAUCAAAAAGGUUAACCAAAGAACGAGAUUCCUCUACAGAAUCUCCUCUCUGGUCAACAAAAGCACCUUGAGGAUUCUAGCGGGAACUCUCCUUCAACCCUUUUUUUAUUACGCUUGCACCUCCUGGUACCCCAGCACCUCCAAAACCCUCAAAUCUAGACUCCAAACAUCCCAGAAUAAGCUAGUCCGGUUACUUUUAGACCUCCACCCCAGAUCACACAUCACUCAAACCCACUUCUCCAAAGUGGGCUGGCUCAGAGUGGAGGACGGAGUAAAACAACUUGCACUGAGCCUAGUCAAUAAAAUCCGCUACACCUCCCUGAUACCGAAGCACAUGUCAAACUACUUCCUUAACGUAAAUGACCGGCAUAACCACAACACCAGGGGGAGCUCCACAAACCACGUUAAACCCAGAUUCCGAUCUAACAAAAGUUCUCUUUCUAUGCCACAUCAAUGUGGAAUGCACUCCCAAGAGGUGUAAAAAUAAGUGCAUCUCUAUAUUCCUUCAAAACCGCUCUAAAACAACACCUCCAGGCAACUUCAACCCUUUACUAAUACCCUCCUCCAUUCACAUCCCAUCUCCCCGGAUUAUAAACAACCGAAUGUAAAUAAUCAAAUGUUUUCCCAAUGUAUAUACUUGUUCUUAUGCUAUCUGACCUCACUAUGUUCUCUGCUGGCUGUACAUAUCCUAUUAAAUAAGACCUACACUGUUUCAAUGUCCACAUUUCUCUGUUGAUGCAAUUGUUGAUGACUGAAGUACUGAUAUCAACCAAAGCUCCUCAUCCCACCCCCCGGAUUGUAAAUAAUGUAAAUAAUUAAAUGUAUAAACUAUGAUGAUUAA